Molecule: ribosomal RNA, 1332 nt
Filed under: uncultured bacterium
Lineage: Bacteria
Description: bacterial SSU rRNA
Rfam family: Bacterial small subunit ribosomal RNA
Source: RNAcentral
GACGAACGCUGGCGGCGCGCCUAACACAUGCAAGUCGAACGAGCAAAGAGGAGCUUGCUUCUCUGAGCGAGUGGCGAACGGGUGAGUAACGCGUGAGGAACCUGCCUCAAAGAGGGGGACAACAGUUGGAAACGACUGCUAAUACCGCAUAAGCCCACGGGUCGGCAUCGACCAGAGGGAAAAGGAGCAAUCCGCUUUGAGAUGGCCUCGCGUCCGAUUAGCUAGUUGGUGAGGUAAUGGCCCACCAAGGCGACGAUCGGUAGCCGGACUGAGAGGUUGAACGGCCACAUUGGGACUGAGACACGGCCCAGACUCCUACGGGAGGCAGUAGUGGGGAAUAUUGCACAAUGGGGGAAACCCUGAUGCAGCGACGCCGCGUGGAGGAAGAAGGUCUUCGGAUUGUAAACUCCUGUUGUUGAGGAAGAUAAUGACGGUACUCAACAAGGAAGUGACGGCUAACUACGUGCCAGCAGCCGCGGUAAAACGUAGGUCACAAGCGUUGUCCGGAAUUACUGGGUGUAAAGGGAGCGCAGGCGGGAAGACAAGUUGGAAGUGAAAUCCAUGGGCUCAACCCAUGAACUGCUUUCAAAACUGUUUUUCUUGAGUAGUGCAGAGGUAGGCGGAAUUCCCGGUGUAGCGGUGGAAUGCGUAGAUAUCGGGAGGAACACCAGUGGCGAAGGCGGCCUACUGGGCACCAACUGACGCUGAGGCUCGAAAGUGUGGGUAGCAAACAGGAUUAGAUACCCUGGUAGUCCACACCGUAAACGAUGAUUACUAGGUGUUGGAGGAUUGACCCCUUCAGUGCCGCAGUUAACACAAUAAGUAAUCCACCUGGGGAGUACGACCGCAAGGUUGAAACUCAAAGGAAUUGACGGGGGCCCGCACAAGCAGUGGAGUAUGUGGUUUAAUUCGACGCAACGCGAAGAACCUUACCAAGUCUUGACAUCCUGCGACGGACAUAGAAAUAUGUCUUUCCUUCGGGACGCAGAGACAGGUGGUGCAUGGUUGUCGUCAGCUCGUGUCGUGAGAUGUUGGGUUAAGUCCCGCAACGAGCGCAACCCUUAUGGUCAGUUACUACGCAAGAGGACUCUGGCCAGACUGCCGUUGACAAAACGGAGGAAGGUGGGGAUGACGUCAAAUCAUCAUGCCCUUUAUGACUUGGGCUACACACGUACUACAAUGGCGUUAAACAAAGAGAAGCAAGACCGCGAGGUGGAGCAAAACUCAGAAACAACGUCCCAGUUCGGACUGCAGGCUGCAACUCGCCUGCACGAAGUCGGAAUUGCUAGUAAUCGUGGAUCAGCAUGCCACGGUGAAUACGUUCCCGGGCCU